GCAAACUUGGUCAUUUAGAGGAAGUAAAAGUCGUAACAAGGUUUCCGUAGGUGAACCUGCGGAAGGAUCAUUACUGAAUCAAGUGGAAUUUGGUUGCUGCUGGCUUUUUUAAAAGCAUUGUGCACACCUUGCUCCAUUUUUUCAAAACCUCCUGUGCACUUUUAUGUAGAUCCUUGGAAUGAACAGAUAAAGAAAAAGGCAUGCUUGCACUUUCUUUGUCGACGGGUAACUGCCAUUGCUUGAAAGUAGACAUGGCUGUUUUGCCUCGGGUUCUCAAGGCUCUAUGUUUUUAAUAUUAUACUCCAUAAGUAUGUAUUAGAUUGUUAUUUGUAGACCAUUUGAGGUCUUAUAAACGCAAAUACAACUUUCAACAACGGAUCUCUUGGCUCUUGCAUCGAUGAAGAACGCAGC
RNAcentral lists this unclassified non-coding RNA (411 nucleotides) under uncultured fungus. RNAcentral describes it as "partial contains small subunit ribosomal RNA, internal transcribed spacer 1, and 5.8S ribosomal RNA". The stretch from base 1 to 73 matches the Rfam family "Eukaryotic small subunit ribosomal RNA", at positions 1759 to 1831 of the family's 1831-position model. Lineage: Eukaryota; Fungi. The record is from RNAcentral.